CCUACGGGUGGCAGCAGUGGGGAAUAUUGGGCAAUGGGCGCAAGCCUGACCCAGCAACGCCGCGUGAAGGAAGAAGGCUUUCGGGUUGUAAACUUCUUUUCUCAGGGACGAAGCAGGUGACGGUACAUGAGGAAUAAGCAACGUCUAACUACGUGCCAGCCGCCGCGGUAAUACGUAGGUGGCAAGCGUUAUCCGGAUUUACUGGGGGUAAGGGCGUGUAGGGGGGAAAGCAAGUCAGAUGUGAAAACCACGGGCUCAACCUGUGGCCUGCAUUUGAAACUGUGUUUCUUGAGGACUGGAGAGGCAGACGGAAUUCCUAGUGGAGCGGUGAAAUGCGUAGAUAUUAUGAGGAACACCAGUGGCGAAGGCGGUCUGCUGGACAGCAACUGACGCUGAGGCGCGAAAGCGUGGGGAGCAAACAGGAUUAGAUACCCUAGUAGUC
RNAcentral lists this ribosomal RNA (442 nucleotides) under uncultured bacterium. RNAcentral describes it as "partial 16S ribosomal RNA". It matches the Rfam family "Bacterial small subunit ribosomal RNA", at positions 338 to 795 of the family's 1533-position model. The record is from RNAcentral.